RNAcentral lists this ribosomal RNA (472 nucleotides) under Alloprevotella sp. oral taxon 473. RNAcentral's name for it is "bacterial SSU rRNA". It matches the Rfam family "Bacterial small subunit ribosomal RNA", at positions 28 to 491 of the family's 1533-position model. The record is from RNAcentral. Lineage: Bacteria; Pseudomonadati; Bacteroidota; Bacteroidia; Bacteroidales; Prevotellaceae.
GAUGAACGCUAGCUACAGGCUUAACACAUGCAAGUCGAGGGGCAGCAUGGAAGAAGCUUGCUUCUUCUGAUGGCGACCGGCGCACGGGUGCGUAACGCGUAUCAAACCUGCCUCAUACUCGGGGAUAGCCUUGCGAAAGUAAGAUUAAUACCCGAUGUUGUUAUGUUACCGCAUGGUGAUAUAACCAAAGAUUUAUCGGUAUGAGAUGGUGAUGCGUCCGAUUAGGUAGUAGGCGGGGUAACGGCCCACCUAGCCUUCGAUCGGUAGGGGUUCUGAGAGGAAGGUCCCCCACACUGGAACUGAGACACGGUCCAGACUCCUACGGGAGGCAGCAGUGAGGAAUAUUGGUCAAUGGACGCAAGUCUGAACCAGCCAAGUAGCGUGCAGGAUGACGGCCCUCUGGGUUGUAAACUGCUUUUAGUUGGGAAUAAAAAAGAGGACGUGUCCUCUAUUGUAUGACCUCAGAAAAAGG